AGGGGUGUAGCUCAGCUGGUAGAGCAGUCGUCUCCAAAACGAAAGGUCCCGUGUUCGAAUCACGGCACCCCUGCCA
Molecule: transfer RNA, 76 nt
Filed under: Candidatus Amesiibacteriota bacterium
Lineage: Bacteria; Candidatus Amesiibacteriota
Description: Candidatus Amesbacteria bacterium (sediment metagenome) tRNA-Trp
Rfam family: tRNA
About the family: Transfer RNA (tRNA) molecules are approximately 80 nucleotides in length. Their secondary structure includes four short double-helical elements and three loops (D, anti-codon, and T loops).
Source: RNAcentral